AACGCUAGCUACAGGCUUAACACAUGCAAGUCGAGGGGCAGCAUUUCAGUUUGCUUGCAAACUGGAGAUGGCGACCGGCGCACGGGUGAGUAACACGUAUCCAACCUGCCGAUAACUCGGGGAUAGCCUUUCGAAAGAAAGAUUAAUACCCGAUGGUAUAAUUAGACCGCAUGGUCUUGUUAUUAAAGAAUUUCGGUUAUCGAUGGGGAUGCGUUCCAUUAGGCAGUUGGUGAGGUAACGGCUCACCAAACCUUCGAUGGAUAGGGGUUCUGAGAGGAAGGUCCCCCACAUUGGAACUGAGACACGGUCCAAACUCCUACGGGAGGCAGCAGUGAGGAAUAUUGGUCAAUGGGCGAGAGCCUGAACCAGCCAAGUAGCGUGAAGGAUGAAGGUCCUACGGAUUGUAAACUUCUUUUAUACGGGAAUAAAGUAUCCUACGUGUAGGAUUUUGUAUGUACCGUAUGAAUAAGCAUCGGCUAAUUCCGUGCCAGCAGCCGCGGUAAUACGGAAGGUCCAGGCGUUAUCCGGAUUUAUUGGGUUUAAAGGGAGCGUAGGCCGUCUGUUAAGCGUGUUGUGAAAUGUAGAUGCUCAACAUCUGAAUUGCAGCGCGAACUGGCAGACUUGAGUGUGCGCAACGUAGGCGGAAUUCGUGGUGUAGCGGUGAAAUGCUUAGAUAUCACGAAGAACUCCGAUUG
Molecule: ribosomal RNA, 695 nt
Filed under: uncultured bacterium
Lineage: Bacteria
Description: bacterial SSU rRNA
Rfam family: Bacterial small subunit ribosomal RNA
Source: RNAcentral